GAAUUCCUGGUGUAGCGGUGGAAUGCGUAGAUAUCAGGAAGAACACCGACGGCGAAGGCAGCUUUCUGGUCUGUUACUGACCCUGAGGGACGAAAGCGCGGGUAGCGAACAGGAUUAGAUACCCUGGUAGUCCGUGCCGUAAACGAUGUACACUUGAUGUUGGGAGAUUUGAUCCUUUCAGUAUCGGAGUUAACGCGUUAAGUGUACCGCCUGGGGAAUACGAUCGCAAGGUUAAAACUCAAAGGAAUUGACGGGGGCCUGCACAAGCGGUGGAGCAUGUGGCUUAAUUCGAGGCAACGCGAAGAACCUUACCUGGGUUUGACAUAUACCGGACCGGGUGUGAAAACACCCUUCUCUUCGGAGUCGGUAUACAGGUGCUGCAUGGCUGUCGUCAGCUCGUGUCGUGAGAUGUUCGGUUAAGUCCGGCAACGAGCGCAACCCGUGUCGUUAGUUGCUAUCAGGUAAUGCCGGGCACUCUAGCGAGACUGCCCGUGUUAAGCGGGAGGAAGGCGCGGAUGACGUCAAGUCCGCAUGGUCCUUACACUCAGGGCUGCACACGUGCUACAAUGGGUGCUACAGAGGGUUGCGAGGUCGCGAGGCCGAGCGAAUCCCUAAAAGCAUCCUCAGUUCGGAUUGGAGUCUGCAAUUCGACUCCAUGAAGUCGGAAUCGCUAGUAAAGGCGCANCAGCAACGGCGCCU
Molecule: ribosomal RNA, 699 nt
Filed under: uncultured bacterium
Lineage: Bacteria
Description: bacterial SSU rRNA
Rfam family: Bacterial small subunit ribosomal RNA
Source: RNAcentral